RNAcentral lists this ribosomal RNA (540 nucleotides) under uncultured archaeon. Its description in RNAcentral is "bacterial SSU rRNA". It matches the Rfam family "Bacterial small subunit ribosomal RNA", at positions 509 to 1050 of the family's 1533-position model. The record is from RNAcentral.
CAGCAGCCGCGGUAAUACGUAGGUGGCGAGCGUUGUCCGGAAUUACUGGGUGUAAAGGGAGCGCAGGCGGGGAGACAAGUUGGAUGUGAAAUACCGAGGCUUAACCUCGGGGCUGCAUCCAAAACUGUAUCUCUUGAGUGAAGUAGAGGUAGGCGGAAUUCCGAGUGUAGCGGUGGAAUGCGUAGAUAUUCGGAGGAACACCAGUGGCGAAGGCGGCCUACUGGGCUUUAACUGACGCUGAGGCUCGAAAGUGUGGGGAGCAAACAGGAUUAGAUACCCUGGUAGUCCACACUGUAAACGAUGAUUACUAGGUGUGGGGGGUCUGACCCCCUCUGUGCCGCAGUUAACGCAAUAAGUAAUCCACCUGGGGAGUACGAUCGCAAGGUUGAAACUCAAAGGAAUUGACGGGGGCCCGCACAAGCAGUGGAUUAUGUGGAUUAAUUCGAAGCAACGCGAAGAACCUUACCAGGUCUUGACAUCGAGUGACGAACUAAGAGAUUAGUUCUUCCUUCGGGACACAAAGACAGGAGGUGCAUGGCC